This 375-nucleotide long non-coding RNA is filed under the name Brassica napus (rape). RNAcentral describes it as "long non-coding RNA (BNAP_LNC000507)". The record is from RNAcentral. Lineage: Eukaryota; Viridiplantae; Streptophyta; Magnoliopsida; Brassicales; Brassicaceae.
AAAUAAAAUUCAUAUAUACUUUAAAUAUCUCAAAAUCUAAAAUAAAAAUAAUAUAUAACAUAUAAAUUUGAAUAAUGUAUGCCAAAAUACCUAAACUUAAAAUAAAAUUUGGUUUACCUUAAAUAUUUGGAUAUGAAAUAAAUAGAUAUUUUAAGUAAUUUUGGUAUUUUGAGUAUCCUUUAACUAUUUUAAAUAUGUACUUUUAACUAUUUAUAUAUAUUUUUAAGUAUUUUGGACAACUUAAAAACAUCUUAUAUAUUUUGUAUAUUCUUUAAAUAUUAAAUUUAAAAAUAAUUAAUAUAUUGAAGUAUAUAAAUAUGGUUCGAAUAUAUUCGGAUACCCGAAAUAGUUUGUUUCGGAUCCGGUUCCAUUCUG